Molecule: ribosomal RNA, 323 nt
Filed under: uncultured bacterium
Lineage: Bacteria
Description: bacterial SSU rRNA
Rfam family: Bacterial small subunit ribosomal RNA
Source: RNAcentral
AUUGAACGCUGGCGGCAUGCCUUACACAUGCAAGUCGAACGGCAGCACGGGAGCAAUCCUGGUGGCGAGUGGCGAACGGGUGAGUAAUAUAUCGGAACGUGCCCAGUCGUGGGGAUAACGUAGCGAAAGCUACGCUAAUACCGCAUACGAUCUAUGGAUGAAAGCGGGGGAUCGCAAGACCUCGCGCGAUUGGAGCGGCCGAUAUCAGAUUAGGUAGUUGGUGAGGUAAAGGCUCACCAAGCCGACGAUCUGUAGCUGGUCUGAGAGGACGACAGCCANACUGGGACUGAGACACGGCCCAGACUCCUACCGGAGGCAGCAGU